This 253-nucleotide ribosomal RNA is filed under the name uncultured bacterium. RNAcentral describes it as "partial 16S ribosomal RNA". It matches the Rfam family "Bacterial small subunit ribosomal RNA", at positions 524 to 776 of the family's 1533-position model. The record is from RNAcentral.
UACAGAGGUCUCAAGCGUUGUUCGGAAUCACUGGGCGUAAAGGGUGCGUAGGCGGCUUUGUAAGUUAGAGGUGAAAGCCCAGGGCUUAACCCUGGAAUUGCCUUUAAGACUGCAUCGCUAGAAUCGUGGAGAGGUGAGUGGAAUUCCGAGUGUAGAGGUGAAAUUCGUAGAUAUUCGGAAGAACACCAGUGGCGAAGGCGACUCACUGGACACGUAUUGACGCUGAGGUGCGAAAGCGUGGGGAGCAAACAGG